RNAcentral lists this ribosomal RNA (525 nucleotides) under uncultured bacterium. Its description in RNAcentral is "bacterial SSU rRNA". It matches the Rfam family "Bacterial small subunit ribosomal RNA", at positions 248 to 773 of the family's 1533-position model. The record is from RNAcentral.
UGUGUCUAGGUAACGGCUCUACAAGCAGACCAUAGCUAGGGGACGAUGGGUAUUGGUCCCCCGCGGGUGUUCUGAGACACGGACCAGACUCCUCGGGGAGGCAUCAUUGAGGAAUCAGCUCAAUGGAAGCAAGUCAAACCAGCCAUUCGCGUGAAGGAGGACGGCCUGAAGGGUAAGGUUUUCUUAUGCAAAAGAAUAAAGUUUGGGGAAGAAUAAAUGACGGCAAGUAAUGAGGAAGCCCCGAUUAACUAAGUGCCAGCCGGCAGGGUAAUUAAUAGGGGGGAUCCGGUGUCCGUAAUGAUUUAUUGUAAUGAAAGGGUAGGCGGGCGGGGAUUUCAGUCGGCGAAUAAAUUUCGGGAACCAACGAAUAGCAUUCGGAAGAAAGUAGUUCUAGUGCGGGAGGGGGAAGUGGAAUUAAUAGUGGAGCGGUGAAAUGAGUGGGGAUUUGGAGCAACGCCCAUCGAGAGGGGGGGCAUCUUGAUAAUCCGUUACGGACGGUCAUGCAAGAAGGCGUGGGGAUCAAAC